RNAcentral lists this ribosomal RNA (404 nucleotides) under uncultured Rhogostoma. RNAcentral's name for it is "partial small subunit ribosomal RNA". It matches the Rfam family "Eukaryotic small subunit ribosomal RNA", at positions 30 to 432 of the family's 1831-position model. Lineage: Eukaryota; Cercozoa; Thecofilosea; Cryomonadida. The record is from RNAcentral.
GCUUGUCUCAAAGAUUAAGCCAUGCAUGUCUAAGUAUAAGCAACCUUAUACAGCGAAACUGCGUACAGCUCAUUAUAUCAGCAAUUAUUUAUUUGAAGAUCACCUAUUACAUGGAUAACCGUGGUAAUUCUAGAGCUAAUACAUGCGAAAAGACGGGCCGCAAGGCUUGUUGUAUUUAUUAGAUACAAAACCAAUGCGGGUUCUGCUCGCCAUUGUGUUGAAUCAUAGUAACUUAUCGAACGCCAUAGCCUUGUGCUGGGCGUAGAUCAUUCAAAUUUCUGCCCUAUCAGCUUUCGACGGUAGUGUAGUGGACUACCGUGGCGUUAACGGGUAACGGGGAAUUAGGGUUCGAUUCCGGAGAGGGAGCCUGAGAAACGGCUACCACAUCCAAGGAAGGCAGCAGG